AUCCUGAUUCAGGGAGGCAGUGACAAGAAAUAACAACUUUCAACUUUGUUGAAAAGUGUAAUGAGGAUAAUUUACAAACCUUACCGAAAGCAAUUGGAGGGCAAGUCUGGUGCCAGCAGCCGCGGUAAUUCCAGCUCCAAAGGCGUAUAUUAAAGUUGUUGCAGUUAAAAAGCUCGUAGUUGAAGUUCUGGCUGUAUUGGGCCUUAGCACUUGAUGCGGAGGAACCAGCAGUCAUCCGCUUGCAAAUACAUGUCCUUCCUUAACCGGUAGGCUGUAUAAGUAAGCACUUUACCUUGAGAAAAACAGAGUGUUCCAGGCAGGUUUGUCCGGAAUGCGUUAGCAUGGAAUAAUAGAAUAUGACUGAAGUCGAUUUAUUGGUUUAAGGCUUUAGUAAUGAUUAAUAGGGACAAUCGGGGGCAUUGGUACUUGUCAGUCAGAGGUGAAAUUCUAGGAUUUGACAAAGACUAACUGAUGCGAAAGCGUUUGCCAAGAAUGUUUUCAUUAAUCAAGAACGAAAGUUAGGGGAUCAAAGACGAUCAGAUACCGUCCUAGUCUUAACUAUAAACUAUACCGACUCGGAUUCAGAUGAAUUUUAAAGUUCAUUUGGGACCGUAGGAGAAAUCAAAGUCUUUGGGUUCUGGGGGGAGUAUGGUCGCAAGGCUGAAACUUAAAGGAAUUGACGGUUUUGCACCACCAUGGAGUGGAGCCUGCGGCUUAAUUUGACCCAACACUGGGAAACUCAUCAGGGCAAGAAGAUUUUAGGAUUGACAGAUUGAGAGUUCUUUCUUGAUUGGUCUAGUGGUGGUGCAUGGCCGUUCUUAGUUGGUGGAGUGAUUUGACUGGUUAAUUCCGUUAACGAACGAGACCUUAACCUGCUAACUAGUACUUUGAUUUUCAAUCGGAGUUACUUCUUAGAGGGACUAUGUGAGUAAUCACAUGGAAGUUUGAGGCAAUAACAGGUCUGUGAUGCCCUUAGAUGUCCUGAGCUGCACGCGCGCUACAAUGACACAUUCAGCGAGUAUUUCCUGACCCGAAAGGGCUCGGGUAGUCUUUUCAGUGUGUGUCGUGAUAGGGAUAGAUCUUUGUAAUUAUGGAUCUUGAACGAGGAAUUCCUAGUAAGCGCACGUCAUCAGCGUGUGCUGAUUACGUCCCUGCAAAAUGUACACACCGCCCGUCGCUAUUACCGAUUGGGUGUAUAGGUGAACCUUCUCGAUAGCCGCAAGGCUAGAAAUUAAG
RNAcentral lists this ribosomal RNA (1236 nucleotides) under metagenome. RNAcentral's name for it is "SSU rRNA". It matches the Rfam family "Eukaryotic small subunit ribosomal RNA", at positions 448 to 1759 of the family's 1831-position model. The record is from RNAcentral.